This 1133-nucleotide ribosomal RNA is filed under the name Salmonella enterica subsp. enterica serovar Montevideo. Its description in RNAcentral is "bacterial SSU rRNA". It matches the Rfam family "Bacterial small subunit ribosomal RNA", at positions 1 to 1123 of the family's 1533-position model. The record is from RNAcentral. Lineage: Bacteria; Pseudomonadati; Pseudomonadota; Gammaproteobacteria; Enterobacterales; Enterobacteriaceae.
AAAUUGAAGAGUUUGAUCAUGGCUCAGAUUGAACGCUGGCGGCAGGCCUAACACAUGCAAGUCGAACGGUAACAGGAAGCAGCUUGCUGCUUUGCUGACGAGUGGCGGACGGGUGAGUAAUGUCUGGGAAACUGCCUGAUGGAGGGGGAUAACUACUGGAAACGGUGGCUAAUACCGCAUAACGUCGCAAGACCAAAGAGGGGGACCUUCGGGCCUCUUGCCAUCAGAUGUGCCCAGAUGGGAUUAGCUUGUUGGUGAGGUAACGGCUCACCAAGGCGACGAUCCCUAGCUGGUCUGAGAGGAUGACCAGCCACACUGGAACUGAGACACGGUCCAGACUCCUACGGGAGGCAGCAGUGGGGAAUAUUGCACAAUGGGCGCAAGCCUGAUGCAGCCAUGCCGCGUGUAUGAAGAAGGCCUUCGGGUUGUAAAGUACUUUCAGCGGGGAGGAAGGUGUUGUGGUUAAUAACCGCAGCAAUUGACGUUACCCGCAGAAGAAGCACCGGCUAACUCCGUGCCAGCAGCCGCGGUAAUACGGAGGGUGCAAGCGUUAAUCGGAAUUACUGGGCGUAAAGCGCACGCAGGCGGUCUGUCAAGUCGGAUGUGAAAUCCCCGGGCUCAACCUGGGAACUGCAUUCGAAACUGGCAGGCUUGAGUCUUGUAGAGGGGGGUAGAAUUCCAGGUGUAGCGGUGAAAUGCGUAGAGAUCUGGAGGAAUACCGGUGGCGAAGGCGGCCCCCUGGACAAAGACUGACGCUCAGGUGCGAAAGCGUGGGGAGCAAACAGGAUUAGAUACCCUGGUAGUCCACGCCGUAAACGAUGUCUACUUGGAGGUUGUGCCCUUGAGGCGUGGCUUCCGGAGCUAACGCGUUAAGUAGACCGCCUGGGGAGUACGGCCGCAAGGUUAAAACUCAAAUGAAUUGACGGGGGCCCGCACAAGCGGUGGAGCAUGUGGUUUAAUUCGAUGCAACGCGAAGAACCUUACCUGGUCUUGACAUCCACGGAAGAAUUCAGAGAUGGAUUUGUGCCUUCGGGAACCGUGAGACAGGUGCUGCAUGGCUGUCGUCAGCUCGUGUUGUGAAAUGUUGGGUUAAGUCCCGCAACGAGCGCAACCCUUAUCCUUUGUUGCCAGCG